Molecule: ribosomal RNA, 353 nt
Filed under: Salmonella enterica subsp. enterica serovar Enteritidis str. 3402
Lineage: Bacteria; Pseudomonadati; Pseudomonadota; Gammaproteobacteria; Enterobacterales; Enterobacteriaceae
Also listed under: 1 other name
Description: bacterial SSU rRNA
Rfam family: Bacterial small subunit ribosomal RNA
Source: RNAcentral
AAGAGUUUGAUCAUGGCUCAGAUUGAACGCUGGCGGCAGGCCUAACACAUGCAAGUCGAACGGUAACAGGAAGCAGCUUGCUGCUUUGCUGACGAGUGGCGGACGGGUGAGUAAUGUCUGGGAAACUGCCUGAUGGAGGGGGAUAACUACUGGAAACGGUGGCUAAUACCGCAUAAUGUCGCAAGACCAAAGAGGGGGACCUUCGGGCCUCUUGCCAUCAGAUGUGCCCAGAUGGGAUUAGCUUGUUGGUGAGGUAACGGCUCACCAAGGCGACGAUCCCUAGCUGGUCUGAGAGGAUGACCAGCCACACUGGAACUGAGACACGGUCCAGACUCCUACGGGAGGCAGCAGUG